RNAcentral lists this transfer RNA (73 nucleotides) under Virgibacillus natechei. RNAcentral's name for it is "tRNA-Arg". It matches the Rfam family "tRNA". Rfam says of the family: Transfer RNA (tRNA) molecules are approximately 80 nucleotides in length. Their secondary structure includes four short double-helical elements and three loops (D, anti-codon, and T loops). Lineage: Bacteria; Bacillati; Bacillota; Bacilli; Caryophanales; Bacillaceae. RNAcentral also lists the same sequence under 3 other names. The record is from RNAcentral.
GGCUCCGUAGCUCAGGGGAUAGAGCGUUGGUUUCCUAAACCAUGCGUCGCAGGUUCGAAUCCUGCCGGGGCCA